GGCGCGAAAUCUUCGCAAUGCGCGAAAGCGUGACGAGGGAACCCCCAAGUGCCAGGGCACAACCCUGGCUUUUCUGAAGUGUAAAAAGCUUCAGGAAUAAGGGCUGGGUAAGACUGGUGCCAGCCUCCGCGGUAACACCAGCAGCUCAAGUGGUGGCCACGUUUAUUGGGCUUAAAGCGUCCGUAGUCGGUUUUGCAAGUCUUCUGUGAAAUCCUGCAGCUUAACUGUAGGAAUUGCAGGAGAUACUACAAGGCUUGAGGCCGGAAGGGGGAUGGGGUAUUCCAUGGGUACCGGUGAAAUGGUAUAAUCCAUGGAAGACCACCUGUGGCGAAGGCGCCAUCCUAGAACGGGCCUGACGAUGAGGGACGAAAGCUAGGGGAGCGAACCGGAUUAGAUACCCGGGUAGUCCUAGCCGUAAACGAUGCGGACUUAGUAUUGCCGAAGCCUCGAGCUACGGCAGUGCUGUAGGGAAACUGUCAAGUCCGCCGCCUGGGAGUAUGUCGCAA
Molecule: ribosomal RNA, 506 nt
Filed under: uncultured archaeon
Lineage: Archaea
Description: bacterial SSU rRNA
Rfam family: Archaeal small subunit ribosomal RNA
Source: RNAcentral